Molecule: unclassified non-coding RNA, 385 nt
Filed under: Tuber tomentosum
Lineage: Eukaryota; Fungi; Ascomycota; Pezizomycetes; Pezizales; Tuberaceae
Description: Tuber sp. 2 KA-2010 partial contains ITS1, 5.8S rRNA, ITS2 and 28S rRNA
Rfam family: 5.8S ribosomal RNA (bases 197-350)
Source: RNAcentral
CUCCCGGCCCCCAGCGCCGCAGCCCCCUGUGUACCCUUUCCAUGUUGCUUCCCCAGGCCAGCGGCCACCUGCCGCCAGCCCGACCCCUCCCGCGGUCACCCGGGCUGAGGCGCCUGGGGGAGGUCCCUGCCCCAACGAAGUGGUUCAAUCAAUGCAGUCUGAGCAGGCCACCUGCCUGAACCAGGUAACAUGUUAAAACUUUCAACAACGGAUCUCUUGGCUCUCGCAUCGAUGAAGAACGCAGCGAAAUGCGAUAAGUAAUGUGAAUUGCAGAAUUCAGUGAAUCAUCGAAUCUUUGAACGCACAUUGCGCCCUCUGGCAUUCCUCAGGGCAUGCCUGUUCGAGCGUCAAUAGAAACCCCCCUCACCCUCCCGGUGGUACUGGG